GUUCAGUUUAGGGUUUAAAACUCUAAUGCUGACUAAAGGAAAAGUUCAGUUUAGUGUUUAAAAACCUAAUGCUGACUGAAUGGAAAAGUUCAGUUUAGGGUUUUAAAACCCUAAUGCUGACUAAAGGAAAAGUUCAGUUUAGGGUUUAAAACACUAAUACUGACUACAUGGAAAAAGUUCAGUUUAGGGUUUAAAACCCUAAUGUUGACUACAUGGAAAUAGUUCAGUUUAGGGUUUAAAACCCUAAUCCUGACUAAAGGAAAGAGUUCAGUUUAGGGUUUAAAACCCAAAUGCUGACUAAAGGAAAAGUUCAGUUUAGGGUUUAAAACCCUAAUACUGACUGAAUGGAAAAGAGUUCAGUUUAGGGUUUAAAACCCUAAUGCUGACUACAUGAAAAUAGUUCAGUUUAGGGUUUAAAACCCUAAUGCUGACUAAAGGAAAGGUUCAGUUUAGGGUUUAAAACCCUAAUGCUGACUAGAGCAAAAGUUCAGUUUAGGGUUUAAAACCCUAAUACUGACUAAAUGGAAAAGAGUUCAGUUUAGGGUUUAAAACCCUAAUGUUGACUAAAGGAAAAGUUCAGUUUAGGGUUUAAAACCCUAAUGCUGACUGAAUGGAAAAGUUCAGUUUAGGGUUUUAAAACCCUAAUGCUGACUAAAGGAAAAGUUCAGUUUAGGGUUUAAAAUACUAAUACUGACUACAUGGAAAAAGUUCAGUUUAGGGUUUAAAACCCUAAUGCUGACUACAUGGAAAUAGUUCAGUUUAGGGUUUAAAACCCUAAUCCUGACUAAAGGAAAAGUUCAGUUUAGGGUUUAAAACCCUAAUGCUAAGUGAAUGGAAAAGUUCAGUUUAGGGUUUUAAAACCCUAAUGCUGACUAAAGGAAAAGUUCAGUUUAGUGUUUAAAACCCUAAUACUGACUGAAUGGAAAAAGUUCAGUUUAGAGUUUAAAACCCUAAUGCUGACUACAUGGAAAAAGUUCAGUUUAGGGUUUAAAACCCUAAUGCUGACUACAUGGAAAAAGUUCAGUUUAGGGUUUAAAACCCUAAUGCUGACUGAAUGAAAAGAGUUCAGUUUAGGGUUUAAAACCCUAAUGCUGACUGAAUGGAAAAGAGUUCAGUUUAGGGUUUAAAACCCUAAUGCUGACUACAUGGAAAAAGUUCAGUUUAGGGUUUAAAACUCUAAUGCUGACUAAAGGAAAAGUUCAGUUUAGGGUUUAAAACUGUAAUGCUGACUGAAUGGAAAAGUUCAGUUUAGGGUUUAAAACCCUAAUAAUGACUAAAUGGAAAAAGUUCAGUUUAGGGUUUAAAACCCUAAUGCUGACUAAAGAGAAAAAGUUCAGUUUAGGGUUUAAAACCCUAAUCCUGACUAAAGGAAAGAGUUCAGUUUAGGGUUUAAAACACUAAUGCUGACUGAAUGGAAAUAGUUCAGUUUAGGGUUUAAAACCCUAAUGCUGACUACAUGGAAAAAGUUCAGUUUAGGGUUUAAAACCCUAAUACUGACUAAAUGGAAAAGAGUUCAGUUUAGAGUUUAAAACCCUAAUGCUGACUACAUGGAAAAAGUUCAGUUUAGGGUUUAAAACCCUAAUGCUGACUAAAGGAAAAGUUCAGUUUAGGGUUUAAAACCCUAAUGCUGACUGAAUGGAAAAGAGUUCAGUUUAGGGUUUAAAACCCUAAUGCUGACUACAUGAAAAUAGUUCAGUUUAGGGUUUAAAACCCUAAUGCUGACCAAAGAAAAAGUUCAGUUUAGGGUUUAAAACCCUAAUGCUGACUAAAGGAAAAAGUUCAGUUUAGGGUUUAAAACCCUAGUGCUGACUAAAGGAAAAGUUCAGUUUAGGGUUUAAAACCCUAAUGCUGACUAAAGAGAAAAAGUUCAGUUUAGGGUUUAAAACCCUAAUGCUGACUAAAGAGAAAAAGUUCAGUUUAGGGUUUGAAACUCUAAUCCUGACUAAAGGAAAGAGUUCAGUUUAGGGUUUAAAACCCUAAUGCUGACUAAAGGAAAAGUUUAGUUUAGGGUUUAAAACCCUAAUGCUGACUAAAGGAAAAAGAUCAGUUUAGGGUUUAAAACCCUAAUGCUGACUGAAUGGAAAAGAGUUCAGUUUAGGGUUUAAAACCCUAAUGCUGACUAAAGGAAAAGUUCAGUUUAGGGUUUAAAACCCUAAUGCUGACUAAAGGAAAAGUUCAGUUUAGGGUUUAAAACCCUAAUGCUGACUGAAUGGAAAAGUUCAGUUUAGGGUUUAAAACCCUAAUGCUGACUAAAUGGAAAAGUUCAUUUUAGGGUUUAAAACCCUAAUGUUGAUUAAAGAGAAAAAGUUCAGUUUAGGGUUUAAAACCCUAAUGCUGACUAAAGGAAAAGUUCAGUUUAGGGUUUAAAACCCUAAUGCUGAUUGAAUGGAAAAGAGUUCAGUUUAGGGUUUAAAACCCUAAUGCUGACUACAUGGAAAAAGUUCAGUUUAGGGUUUAAAACCCUAAUGCUGACUAGAGGAAAAGUUCAGUUUAGGGUUUAAAACCCUAAUGCUGACUAGAGGAAAAGUUCAGUUUAGGGUUUAAAACCCUAAUACUGACUGAAUGGAAAAAAGUUCAGUUUAGGGUUUAAAACCCUAAUGCUGACUGAAUGGAAAAAGUUCAGUUUAGGGUUUAAAACCCUAAUGCUGACUACAUGGAAAAAGUUCAGUUUAGGGUUUAAAAUCCUAAUGCUGACUAAAGGAAAAGUUCAGUUUAGGGUUUAAAACCCUAAUGCUGACUGAAUGGAAAAGUUCAGUUUAGGGUUUAAAACCCUAAUGCUGACUAAAUGGAAAAAGUUCAGUUUAGGGUUUAAAACCCUAAUGCUGACUAAAGAGAAAAAGUUCAGUUUAGGGUUUGAAACUCUAAUCCUGACUAAAGGAAAGAGUUCAGUUUAGGGUUUAAAACCCUAGUGCUGACUAAAGGAAAAGUUCAGUUUAGAGUUUAAAACCCUAAUGCUGACUACAUGGAAAAAGUUCAGUUUAGGGUUUAAAACCCUAAUGCUGACUAAAGGAAAAAGUUUAGUUUAGGGUUUAAAACCCUAAUGCUGACUAAAGGAAAGAGAUCAGUUUAGGGUUUAA
RNAcentral lists this long non-coding RNA (3077 nucleotides) under Nicotiana tabacum (common tobacco). RNAcentral describes it as "long non-coding RNA (NTAB_LNC013466)". The record is from RNAcentral. Lineage: Eukaryota; Viridiplantae; Streptophyta; Magnoliopsida; Solanales; Solanaceae.